GAUGAACGCUGGCGGCGUGCCUAAUACAUGCAAGUCGAGCGAACAGACGAGGAGCUUGCUCCUCCGACGUUAGCGGCGGACGGGUGAGUAACACGUGGAUAACCUACCUAUAAGACUGGGAUAACUUCGGGAAACCGGAGCUAAUACCGGAUAAUAUAUUGAACCGCAUGGUUCAAUAGUGAAAGACGGUUUUGCUGUCACUUAUAGAUGGAUCCGCGCCGCAUUAGCUAGUUGGUAAGGUAACGGCUUACCAAGGCGACGAUGCGUAGCCGACCUGAGAGGGUGAUCGGCCACACUGGAACUGAGACACGGUCCAGACUCCUACGGGAGGCAGCAGUAGGGAAUCUUCCGCAAUGGGCGAAAGCCUGACGGAGCAACGCCGCGUGAGUGAUGAAGGUCUUCGGAUCGUAAAACUCUGUUAUUAGGGAAGAACAAAUGUGUAAGUAACUAUGCACGUCUUGACGGUACCUAAGCAGAAAGCCACGGCUAACUACGU
This 496-nucleotide ribosomal RNA is filed under the name uncultured bacterium. Its description in RNAcentral is "partial 16S ribosomal RNA". It matches the Rfam family "Bacterial small subunit ribosomal RNA", at positions 28 to 506 of the family's 1533-position model. The record is from RNAcentral.